GAUGAACGCUGGCGGCGUGCCUAAUACAUGCAAGUCGAGCGAACGGACGAGAAGCUUGCUUCUCUGAUGUUAGCGGCGGACGGGUGAGUAACACGUGGAUAACCUACCUAUAAGACUGGGAUAACUUCGGGAAACCGGAGCUAAUACCGGAUAAUAUUUUGAACCGCAUGGUUCAAAAGUGAAAGACGGUCUUGCUGUCACUUAUAGAUGGAUCCGCGCUGCAUUAGCUAGUUGGUAAGGUAACGGCUUACCAAGGCAACGAUGCAUAGCCGACCUGAGAGGGUGAUCGCACAGACUGGAACUGAGACACGGUCCAGACUCCUGCGGGAGGCAGCAGUAGGGAAUCUUCCGCAAUGGGCGAAAGCCUGACGGAGCAACGCCGCGUGAGUGAUGAAGGUCUUCGGAUCGGAAAGCUCUGUUAUUAGUGAAGAACAUAUGUGUAAGUAACUGUGCACAUCUUGACGGUACCGAAUCAGAAAGCCACGGCUAACUACGUG
Molecule: ribosomal RNA, 497 nt
Filed under: uncultured bacterium
Lineage: Bacteria
Description: partial 16S ribosomal RNA
Rfam family: Bacterial small subunit ribosomal RNA
Source: RNAcentral